This 290-nucleotide ribosomal RNA is filed under the name Salmonella enterica. RNAcentral describes it as "partial 16S ribosomal RNA". It matches the Rfam family "Bacterial small subunit ribosomal RNA", at positions 1 to 287 of the family's 1533-position model. RNAcentral also lists the same sequence under 1 other name. Lineage: Bacteria; Pseudomonadati; Pseudomonadota; Gammaproteobacteria; Enterobacterales; Enterobacteriaceae. The record is from RNAcentral.
AAAUUGAAGAGUUUGAUCAUGGCUCAGAUUGAACGCUGGCGGCAGGCCUAACACAUGCAAGUCGAACGGUAACAGGAAGCAGCUUGCUGCUUUGCUGACGAGUGGCGGACGGGUGAGUAAUGUCUGGGAAACUGCCUGAUGGAGGGGGAUAACUACUGGAAACGGUGGCUAAUACCGCAUAACGUCGCAAGACCAAAGAGGGGGACCUUCGGGCCUCUUGCCAUCAGAUGUGCCCAGAUGGGAUUAGCUAGUUGGUGAGGUAACGGCUCACCAAGGCGACGAUCCCUAGC